GAUGAAUGCUGGCGGCGUGCCUAACACAUGCAAGUCGAGCGGUAACAGGAGUAGUUUACUACUUGCUGACGAGCGGCGGACGGCUGAGUAACGCGUGGGAACGUGCCCCAAAGUGAGGAAUAACUGCCCGAAAGGGUAGCUAAUACCGCAUAUGAUCUUCGGAUUAAAGGAUUUAUCCGCCUUGGGAGCGGCCCGCGUACGAUUAGGUAGUUGGUGAGGUAAUGGCUCACCAAGCCGACGAUCGUUAACUGGUCUGAGAGGAUGAUCAGUCAGACUGGAACUGAGACACGGUCCAGACUCCUACGGGAGGCAGCAGUGAGGAAUCUUCCACAAUGGGCGAAAGCCUGAUGGAGCAGCGCCGCGUGCAGGAUGAAGGCCUUCGGGUUGUAAACUGCUUUUAUAAGUGAAGAAUAUGACGGUAACUUAUGAAUAAGCACCGGCUAACUACGUGCCAGCAGCCGCGGUA
RNAcentral lists this ribosomal RNA (466 nucleotides) under uncultured bacterium. RNAcentral's name for it is "partial 16S ribosomal RNA". It matches the Rfam family "Bacterial small subunit ribosomal RNA", at positions 28 to 522 of the family's 1533-position model. The record is from RNAcentral.